UGGACAAACUGAUGGCAGUUUCUGUAAAU
RNAcentral lists this non-coding RNA (29 nucleotides) under Rattus norvegicus (Norway rat). Lineage: Eukaryota; Metazoa; Chordata; Mammalia; Rodentia; Muridae. The record is from RNAcentral.